RNAcentral lists this transfer RNA (68 nucleotides) under human gut metagenome. It matches the Rfam family "tRNA". From Rfam's summary of the family: Transfer RNA (tRNA) molecules are approximately 80 nucleotides in length. Their secondary structure includes four short double-helical elements and three loops (D, anti-codon, and T loops). The record is from RNAcentral.
CAGAUGUAGUUUAAUGGUAGAACUUCUGCCUUCCAAGCAGACAGUGCGAGUUCGAUUCUCGUCAUUUG